UUGACCAUCUCGGGGCUGACCUAGUCAGUUUCAAUAGGAGU
This 41-nucleotide ribosomal RNA is filed under the name Agaricales sp. MUT 5200. RNAcentral describes it as "partial 28S ribosomal RNA". The record is from RNAcentral. Lineage: Eukaryota; Fungi; Basidiomycota; Agaricomycetes; Agaricales.